GGAUGUGAGGGCGAUCUGGCUGUGAUAUCUGUCACCCCAUUGAUCACCAGGGUUGAUUUGACUGAUCUGGCUGGCUAGGCGGUGUCCCCUUCCUCCCUCACCGCUCCAUGUGCUUACCUCCCAAAGCUGCCCGCUCGGUUGAAGAGGACGGCCUUCCCCAAAUAGAGACUGACCGGUCUUCGGUCGAGGGUAUACAGUAGCUGAGUAGCUGUGCUCCCCUGCUAGAACCUACAAACAAGUUCUCAAGAAUUGAGUUCCUAGGACUGGUGAAUUAGUUCAUGUGGAUAGUGUGCUGCUUUGCACUACAUACAAUCC
Erinaceus europaeus (western European hedgehog) is the source of this 315-nucleotide unclassified non-coding RNA. Its record names the gene 7SK. It matches the Rfam family "7SK RNA". From Rfam's summary of the family: 7SK was discovered as an abundant small nuclear RNA in the mid-70s but a possible function has only recently been suggested. Two independent studies have found that 7SK RNA binds the CDK9/cyclin T complex (known as elongation factor P-TEFb). P-TEFb activates transcription by phosphorylating the C-terminal domain of RNA polymerase II. The record is from Ensembl. Lineage: Eukaryota; Metazoa; Chordata; Mammalia; Eulipotyphla; Erinaceidae.